CGAAGAAAAAUAUAAAAUGGAAACUAGUGCUGACUAAACAUCAAUAUAAAGCCGGGCCGAUAAGACCGUCAUAGCUAUUACAGCUGGCAAACAAACAAAAUAUACAUACAAGGACUAAAAGCCCAACAUACUGCACUAACUAACAGAAUAUGUCUACAAGCCUCUACCGAUGGAUGUAGGUGAUCGGAACACGGCCCCAACCUACCCAUAACAUAUAUACAUAUAUACAUAAAAUGUACACAAAACUCUAGACCCGGCAACUCUGAAGGACGUGGAGCUUACCAAUCAAGCUGAACUCGGGCAACACCUACUGAGGAGGUCUACCCGUCUAUCUGUAUGCACCUGCAUGCAUGAAAUGCAGCGCCCCCAGAAAAGGGACGUUAGUACGAAAUAAUGUACCGAGUAUGUAAGGCAAUAAAAUAACCGAAAGCUGAAACUGAACUGAUAAUAUGAUAAUUGAAAGUAACUAGGAGAUAAAGAUGAUCGGGAGAUAUACUUACCUACUGAUAUUGAAUCAACUUUCUCAAUAUAAUAAGUAAAAUAAAUGUUCGGCCGUAUAAGGCUCGGAACGUGUAACUGCUCUACCGUAGUAGGCAUGCUUAUAGGCGCUCGGCCAUACUAGGCUUUGUAUCUCAACCAUUCUGGGCUCGCUCAUAGGCGCUCGGCCACAGUAGGCUCGGUAUAUAACUUACCAUCUGAUCAUAGGUUGCCCAAUAGGGGCCUGUCCACCGAUUAUAACUCGAUGGUAGUAAAAAUAUUGUAAUAAUGUAUAUAUAUAUAUAUGUGUGUGUGUGUGUAUAUAUAUAUAUAUAUAUAUAUACUCUCUGCUCUCUUAACUAGAAGAAGACAAUACUCAAUUGAAUAUAAAGUCCUGAUAAGGGAGAAUAUUGUAACUUAUGAGACUAGGAUAAUAUAUAUAAAUUCGAGAGUAUGAUAUUCUCUUUAUGCCUCAUCAUCAAACACAUGUAGUUAUGAGAUCAUGCCAAAAUGAAGGAAGGACUUAGCCUUAACAUGCCUUAUCACAAUCUUUCCAAUCACCAAAUUGAACUCGCCUCUUUGCACACAACAACGAUAAUAAUAAUAUCAUUAAGUUGUGAAAGGUACAACUAUCGCACAACGAAUGACAAACUUAUUUUGUAUAGAAACGGGUAGCAUCUCCCCUAUAAUCCUUACUUCCUCCAAAUUCAGGAUAACACCACCAACAACAACAUAUAUACAUUAAUUUCCAGCCGUAUAUACACCAUAAAAUACUACAAAACAGUCCAACACACUGCAAUCUCUUCAUACAAAAACCGACCACCGUAGUAGUGUCAAACGAUCCGGAAAUGUUUCGACGAACGACCAGCCACUGCCCUACAUCUAUAUGAUGUUUAUCCAUGCCCUUCCUCCUCCAAAACUCCACAAAAUAGUAGUAAAAAAUGCAGCCCAAUAGCAACACAAAACAGUCCACAAAACAGUCCGCUACAAGUGAAUAACUCAAACUCACGACUUCCGAUCACCGUCCCUAGAGUUCUUACAAAUAUAGAGUGACUUACCAUGAAGUUAUAGCAGAAACAAUAUAUGAAAUAGAGCAGUAAACUUACCUUGUUUGUUGGAUAACUCAGCUCCUAUCUUGGUUCUUCAAAGAAUAGGUUUUGCCUCCAAUUAGAACUUGAAAGGGGGAGAAAAUCAAUUAGGGUUUGUGGGUAAUUUUUGGGAGGAAGUUUACAGGGUUUUAGGUAUAUUUAUUUGUGAUAUAUAAUAAGGUUUAUAUUGCAGGAUAUAAUCCCUUAAAUGGGCUCUUUGCCUGACCCAAAUUGCCUCUUUUUGUGCUCUCAUUUAACCAAGUAGGUGACACAACUACUUGUCACCUAGCAGCCUGCACAGUCUCGCAAAAAUGCAUAUAUCUCUCUGUUCCAAUGUCGUAAUGAUAAACGGUUUAAUGUGUUAGAAAAUAGACUCAUAGAGAUUCAACUUUAUGGGUGGAACACCCCAUAAAUCUAAGUAUAUUGGGAGAAAAUUGUAGUUACAUUUGACCCAAAUUUUCAGUAAAACUUAUAAAUGUAACUUGUGAUGACUUUCAUCGACUUUUGUUCCACAACUCGCUUGACUUAAAACAAAACACACGAUUAUAAUACAACUAACCUAAUUCAUAACAUAACCUCCUUAUCAUGUUAAGCACCCUAGCCUCACCCCAAAAGUACAUGUUAUCGCAUUCUCAUCUUGUCGACUUUCGACGAAACAUUAUUUUCUUCAAUUCCUUUAGCUUCUGAACCUUCCAACCCUCUUGGUACUUGUUGUUCAUGAUAUUCAAUAUCUGUAACCUCCGAGGUAAUAUGAUUAACUUACUUUAUAUACGUUCAAAUAUUAUCUCAUUUUUAGUCCUACAUUAGUUUGUUUACGACACACUUUUACGUAUGAAAAUAUAGGGUGUAACACUCCUCAACACACUGAGUCCGUUUUUUGUAUACCUUAUAGGCUUUACUUUGAGAAGAGUACCCCAGAAAAAUUCCUUCAUCACUCUUGGCAUCAAAUUUUCCAAGCUGAUCCUUUCCAUUGUUGAGAACAUAACAUUUGCACCUAAAUGUUCUUAAGUGAGUCAGCUUGAGCUUCCUUCCAUUCAGCAACUCAUAGGGAGUUUUGUUCAAGAAAGACCUGAUCAUGAACCUGUUCACCAAGUAGCAGGCAGUGUUGAUAGCUUCAGACCAGAAGUUCUUAGCAAUCUCACUAUCGAUCAGCAUUGUUCUUGCCAUUUCUUCAAGAGUUCUGUUCUUCCUUUCCACAACUCCAUUUUGUUGUGGAGUUCUGGGGUCUGAGAAGUUGUGGGCGAUGCCAUUCUCGUUGCAGAAUUUAUCAAACUUAGCAUUGUCAAAUUCUGCUCCAUGAUCUGAUCUAAUGCAUGCUACUUUUGAUUCCAUCUUCACUUGAAUUUUCUUCACAAAGGCUACAAAAACUUCAAAGGUCUCAUCUUUUGUUCUAAGGAAGAGAGUCUAAGUGAAUCUGGAAUAGUCAUCCACUAUCACAAAAAUGUAUCUUUUUCCUCCCCUGCUUAGCACUCUCAUAGGGCCACAUAGAUCCAUAUGAAUGAGGUCAAGUGGUUUUGAGGUGCUGACAUCCUUCUUUGGCUUGAAUGAGGAUUUCACAUGCUUUCCUCUAGCGCAGGCAUCACAAACUUUGUGCUCUAUGAACUUUGACUUGGGCAGACCACAAACCAGGUCCUUCUGAACCAGCUUAUUCAGUAGAGAGAACCUUGCAUGCCCCAGCCUUCUGUGCCAUAGUUCAGCAUCAUCAUCAACUGCUUUCAAGCAGCUCAGAUCAUCACUUUGUGGGGACUCAAAAUCAGCAACAUAGAUAUUCUUGUAUCUUUUGGCCACAAGUACCACUUCACUAGUUACUAGAUUUGUAACUGUGCAUAUCUUUGACAAGAACUCCACCUCGUUUCCUUUAUCACAUAUUUGAGAAAAACUCAAGAGACUAUACUUAAGACCAUUGACAAUUGAGUGAGUGAGUGAUUUUCCAAUUUUUCCAACACCAAGAAUGUACACCUUUAUCCCAUUUCAAAAGGAUACACUCCCUCCUUGCAGGGCUUUUAGUAAAAUAAAUUCUAUGGUAUUCCCAGUCAUGUGCUUUGAGCAUCCACUAUCCAUGAACCAUUAUUGACUGCUUCCUUUCACUGUUCCCUACACAAAAAAAUCAAGGGUUAGAUUUAGAAACCCAAAUAAGUUUGGGUCCUUUGUAAUAAGGAAAGGGAUCAAUAAGUGCUCUUCUAGUCCAUGUAGGUAACAUGCGCUUUUUAUGGGUGGCACCUGGUCCUCUUUCAGCAGUUACUCCUUCAGCAAAAACUUUGUUUUUCUGAAGAGCACCUGACUUGGCGAUUUUCUUUGAAAUGCCCAUUGUUCCCACGGUAGGUACAAAACCAAAAUUAUCAUGCACAGUGACGUACUUGUUAUGAAAGUUAUAAGGAGUUCUCUCCCUUUGAAAUCCUAUUCCCUGCAUGUUUCCACCAUUGUUAACAUACAUGGCAUCCGAGAACCAGGUCUACUUAAGAGACUUCUCAAGAUCACUUUUUACUCUUUCCGAUUCUGCUUGAAGCUGUCUAUUUUUCUCAAGUUAAGCACACAAACUAGUUUUUACAGCAUUUAACUCAUUUUCAAGUUUAAUAGUUGCCUCACUAGCCACUUCUUUCCCUUUUUCAGAAUUCGCAGGCCUACAUUCAGCUUUGAGUUCCUCUAUUGUUUCCUUUAAGUCUACAAUCACCAAAAAGAGGUCAUCUCUUUCCUGCUCAAUAACAGCCACUUUCUCUUUUAAGGCAUCUUUUUCUUUACUGAAAUUCUCAAUGGUUUCUUUUAGGUCAACUACUACUACCAUCAGAUUAUCUCUUUCGUGUUCUACACUAGUGAUUUUCUCAGUGAGAACCUCCUUUUCAUUUUCUAGAUUAUUUAUAGUUUCCUUCAAAUCAACCACACAAACUACCAAGUCAUCUCUAGUUUGCUCAGCAUCUCCUAACUCUAUGGUUAAGGCGUCCUUAUCAUUUACAAGACUAUGGUAAGCAUCAAUUAACACAUUAGCUAAUGACAUGAGUUUUUUAGGAGAGAAGGACUUCAGAUUUCUCUGAACAUCCCGAAAGUUUACCUCAUCAUUGUCGUCGUCUUCAUCAUCAUUUGAUUGAGCCAUCAAAGAAAAUAUUGAGUCAUACUCAUUUUCUUCACUUUCAACUGCCAUCAUGUAGUUGUCACAUGCAUCAUCUUCUUCUUCAGACUCGCUGUAAGAAUCUCCCCAUGCUGCAAGAGCUUGCUUCACAACAUUGUUAGCGACGUUCUUUCUUUUGAAGCGUUUAUCAAGAAUCGGGUUCCUCUUGGCUGCUUUGUCAGAGUUAUGUUUGAAGCGUUCUUGCUUCAGGAGAGGCCAAUCUUUGAUGAAAUGCCCUGGCUUUCUACACUUAUGACAGAAGUCAUAAUUCUUUGACUUGCUAGAACUGUCCCUCUUUCGUAUACCUCCAUUCCUUCGAACCAUUUUCUGAAACCUUCUGUUUAAGUAAGCCAUGUCACUAUCCUCGCCACUUGAGUCAUUUCUUUCUGCCUUGAGUACCAUGCCCUUUUCCUUCUUUGGUUCUCUUCUCUCACUGUCUUUCUUCUUUUUUAUUUCAUAGGUUUUCAGAUUCCCAACCAGCUCAUCUAUAGUCAGUUUUUGUAAAUCCAUUGCUUCAAUAAUGGCAUUCACUUUACUCUCCUAGGAACUAGACAAAACACUAAGAAUUUUCCUCACGAGCUUGUUCCUAGGAAUGAUUUCACCAAUUAAGUGUGGCUCAUUUAUGAUGGAAGUGAAUCGAGUGUGCAUGUCUUGAAUGGAUUCAUCGUCCUUCAUUCUGAAGAGCUCAUACUUAGUGGUGAGCAUGUCAAUCUUAGAUUGCUUUGUGUCACACCUCAUUUUUCUACCCGAAAGGGUAUAGGGGAAUUUUUCCAAUUAAAGUGACAAUAAUCGAAACAGGAUUAUUUAUUCAAAUUCAGAGUCUCCACUUGGGAUAAUUUAUGGUGUCCCAAGUCACCGGUUUAAAAUCCCGAAUCAAAGAAGUUUGACUCUAUUUUAUAGUCCGCGAAACACAGAAAUCCGAGUAAGGAAUUCUGUUAACCCAGGAGAAGGUGUUAGGCAUUCCCGGGUUUUGUGGUUUUAGCACGAUCGCUCAACUAUUAUUAUUGGCCUAAUUAUUUGAUUAAUUAAAUAUCUUAUACCUAUUAUGCAUUUUUAACCUUUGGCCGCUUUUAAUUAUUUAUGGAAUUAUUCUGGAACAAGUUACGUUUGUCAUGCACUUAUUUGUUUGAUACACAUUGCGAAUCGUGUCACGGAACCGUACCCACAAUCUACAACAUGUUUAAUUUAUUAACAUUAUUAGAAGUUAUGGCCGGGUCACAUGAAAUGUGCACCUGAAUUUUGAAAAUUAUGUAUGACAACUACGUCACGGGAACUGUACCCGUAGCUAUGAUGAUUUAUUAUAGCACGCCUAAAGCAAACUACGAGUAUUCGUAUUUAAAACUAAUUCGACAUUCAAAUGAAGGCUACUAAUUUUAACUAUGUGUUGGGUAUAAUUAGGUUGGACCUUUAACUAUAUUGGGAAAAACCUUGGGCCAGCAGUAAGCCCAUUAGGUUAUUUGGUCAGAGAAAAAAUCAAUGUUAAGGCUGCUUGAGCUCGGAAUUUAACCCAGAAGUAAAAAAACUCAAAGGCCUUGCCAGGUCCAAUUUUGACCAUGGCUGUCUUGUUUUGGGCUAACGUCAGCCCAGCAGCUUUAAUGGGAAAAAUCUUUAAUAUGCUAAGGCCAUAAAUGAAGCCCAAUCUCUUCAAACACAAAUAACAAAAUAUUUUUAUCAAAAUUCUGAAUAUCAAAAUAUGCUGAAUAGCCGUGUUAUGGACUUUAACUCAUUAACAUGCCAUUAGUAAUACAAUAUUAGCUUAAACCCCUUAAACUACUAAUUAAUCACAUUGAAAUUAGACAUGUAAGUACUUUAACCAUAACUGAAAAUCUAGGAUACAAACUGGAUAUCACUCACUUAGUGAUUACAUACUGAAUUUCUUUUGAACGUGAAUAAACUUGGACAUCAAAAACUCAAAUGAAGUACCAUGACCAACAUAACAACCUCUACUCUUUAACAAAUAAACAAGAACAAGCUAAUAACAAACAUCAAUCAACUUGAACUCUUGAACAACACACGAAAGGCUAAAACAUUUUGAACAUUUAAACAUGAGAGCCCUACUAAAUUAUUGACUAAUAACAGAUCCAGCAUAUUCAUCUCAAAAGAAGAAAUUAAAAGGCCAAAUGACUUGUAAGAACAUAUAUAAAACUGAAAUUCAAUAUUUGAAUAUUAACUUCAAAUCAUUAGUGCAUUCUUCAAAAUAUGCUUGCACUCCAUUUUGUCAUUCAAAGUUCAGGAAGUACCUGGUUAUAGAGAACAAAACAAAGAACUUCAGCAAGAAAUCAGUAGAGAUCAGCAGCAAAAAACAUACAACACAGCCUCAAACUUAAUCCAUGUUUCGGUUUAGAAGACCAGAAAUCCCAAAGAAAUUUGUUCUAACUUUUACCAAAAAUCAGAAAAGGCGUCAGCUACUAGUGAAAUAGUAGAGCUAAACUUUUGGGGUAUUUUUAGG
Molecule: long non-coding RNA, 7117 nt
Filed under: Nicotiana tabacum (common tobacco)
Lineage: Eukaryota; Viridiplantae; Streptophyta; Magnoliopsida; Solanales; Solanaceae
Description: long non-coding RNA (NTAB_LNC014971)
Source: RNAcentral